Molecule: ribosomal RNA, 253 nt
Filed under: uncultured bacterium
Lineage: Bacteria
Description: partial 16S ribosomal RNA
Rfam family: Bacterial small subunit ribosomal RNA
Source: RNAcentral
UACGUAGGUGGCAAGCGUCAUCCGGAAUCACUGGGUGUAAAGGGUGCGUAGGCGGUAGGGCAAGUCAGAUGUGAAAGCCCGGGGCUCAACUCCGGGACUGCAUUUGAAACUGUCUUACUAGAGUGCAGGAGAGGAAAGCGGAAUUCCUAGUGUAGCGGUGAAAUGCGUAGAUAUUAGGAAGAACACCAGUGGCGAAGGCGGCUUUCUGGACUGUAACUGACGCUGAGGCACGAAAGCGUGGGGAGCGAACAGG